UCGUAACAAGGUUUCCGUAGGUGAACCUGCGGAAGGAUCAUUACAGUAUUCUUUUGCCAGCGCUUAACUGCGCGGCGAAAAACCUUACACACAGUGUCUUUUUGAUACAGAACUCUUGCUUUGGUUUGGCCUAGAGAUAGGUUGGGCCAGAGGUUUAACAAAACACAAUUUAAUUAUUUUUACAGUUAGUCAAAUUUUGAAUUAAUCUUCAAAACUUUCAACAACGGAUCUCUUGGUUCUCGCAUCGAUGAAGAACGCAGCGAAAUGCGAUAAGUAAUAUGAAUUGCAGAUUUUCGUGAAUCAUCGAAUCUUUGAACGCACAUUGCGCCCUCUGGUAUUCCAGAGGGCAUGCCUGUUUGAGCGUCAUUUCUCUCUCAAACCCCCGGGUUUGGUAUUGAGUGAUACUCUUAGUCGGACUAGGCGUUUGCUUGAAAAGUAUUGGCAUGGGUAGUACUAGAUAGUGCUGUCGACCUCUCAAUGUAUUAGGUUUAUCCAACUCGUUGAAUGGUGUGGCGGGAUAUUUCUGGUAUUGUUGGCCCGGCCUUACAACAACCAAACAAGUUUGACCUCAAAUCAGGUAGGAAUACCCGCUGAACUUAAGCAUAUC
RNAcentral lists this unclassified non-coding RNA (607 nucleotides) under Meyerozyma guilliermondii. Its description in RNAcentral is "sequence contains 18S rRNA gene, ITS1, 5.8S rRNA gene, ITS2, 28S rRNA gene". The stretch from base 213 to 366 matches the Rfam family "5.8S ribosomal RNA". Lineage: Eukaryota; Fungi; Ascomycota; Pichiomycetes; Serinales; Debaryomycetaceae. The record is from RNAcentral.